This 460-nucleotide ribosomal RNA is filed under the name uncultured bacterium. RNAcentral describes it as "partial 16S ribosomal RNA". It matches the Rfam family "Bacterial small subunit ribosomal RNA", at positions 338 to 795 of the family's 1533-position model. The record is from RNAcentral.
CCUACGGGAGGCAGCAGUGAGGAAUAUUGGUCAAUGGCCGGAAGGCUGAACCAGCCAUGCCGCGUGAAGGUCAGUGCCCUAUGGGCGUUAAACUUCUUUUGUGCGGGAGCAAUAAUGGUCACGUGUGGCCAGACGAGAGUACCGUACGAAUAAGCAUCGGCUAACUCCGGGCCAGCAGCCGCGGUAAUACGGGGGAUGCAAGCGUUAUCCGGAUUUAUUGGGUUUAAAGGGUGCGUAGGCUGUGAGGUAAGUCAGCGGUGAAAUGCCCCCGCUCAACGGGGUGAAGUGCCAUUGAUACUGCCUGGCUGGAAUGCGGAUGCCGUGGGAGGAAUGUGUGGUGUAGCGGUGAAAUGCAUAGAUAUCACACAGAACACCGAUUGCGAAGGCAUCUCACGAAUCCGCGAUUGACGCUGAUGCACGAAAGCGUGGGUAUCAAACAGGAUUAGAUACCCGAGUAGUC